GGCUUCAUAGCUCAGUUGGUUAGAGUGUCGCACCGGUUCGCGAGGUCAUGGGUUCAAACCCCAUUGAAGUCC
Molecule: transfer RNA, 72 nt
Filed under: Acropora cervicornis
Lineage: Eukaryota; Metazoa; Cnidaria; Anthozoa; Scleractinia; Acroporidae
Description: tRNA-OTHER
Rfam family: tRNA
About the family: Transfer RNA (tRNA) molecules are approximately 80 nucleotides in length. Their secondary structure includes four short double-helical elements and three loops (D, anti-codon, and T loops). Further hydrogen bonds mediate the characteristic L-shaped molecular structure. tRNAs have two regions of fundamental functional importance: the anti-codon, which is responsible for specific mRNA codon recognition, and the 3' end, to which the tRNAs corresponding amino acid is attached (by aminoacyl-tRNA synthetases). tRNAs cope with the degeneracy of the genetic code in two manners: having more than one tRNA (with a specific anti-codon) for a particular amino acid; and 'wobble' base-pairing, i.e. permitting non-standard base-pairing at the 3rd anti-codon position.
Source: RNAcentral